Molecule: transfer RNA, 72 nt
Filed under: Ovis aries (sheep)
Lineage: Eukaryota; Metazoa; Chordata; Mammalia; Artiodactyla; Bovidae
Rfam family: tRNA
About the family: Transfer RNA (tRNA) molecules are approximately 80 nucleotides in length. Their secondary structure includes four short double-helical elements and three loops (D, anti-codon, and T loops).
Source: Rfam by way of RNAcentral
UCCCUGGUGGCUCAGAUGGUAAAGAAUCUGCUUGCAAUGCAGGAGACCCAGGUUCAAUCCCUGGGUGGGGAA